AAAAAGUUAGAUUAAUUAUUUUGCUUUUAAAACUUCAAUAUUUUUAUUGAAAGUAAAAAAUAUAAUCCAAUGUACUUGCACCAAAGAUAGGUCGGGUUUUGUACCAAAAUUGCAGAUGAUAAUCUUUUUCCACAGUACAGAUCAUGUGCCCAACAUCAGCUAUAUACAAGUUGAAAUCUGUUGAUAAUAACCACCUUAUUAAGACAGAAAACAGUCGUGUAAAAACCUACACAUGCAUUGAUGCCUUUGAAGUGCGAUGAUUUGUUCCAAGAACAAUCACAAUUACAGUUACAUCAUCAUGGUAUUUCCUUCUCCUACCAGCUGGUAUGUUCAUCAAUUCUUCCAUGCUGAAACCUGCAUCAAGAAUAUUUAAGCCAUUGAUAUCUGGAUGAGCAAUAAGCUUCGUACAUACUAUAAAGGUCAAUAAAUACUUGGAGAAUUAAGCACAUAAAAUUAGUGUGCCAGUUACCAUUUUGCUAGCUACUUGAUGAAAUUUUUAGAAAAUCAAAGAUUCAUCCUUUUCUUUGUUAUUUUUUGGGUAGGGAGCAGCCUAUACUGAGCAUAUGCUCAGAUGCGUGUGACAAUGUGAGUUGCAUUGGCAUGUCUUUGGGCGCAAAGCAUAUAUUUGAAUUGCAUUUAUCAUUUAUCAUUUAUAAUGGACUGCAAUAAUACAAAACAUUUGAAGUGUUUAAUCACAAUGCGGAAAAAUGAAAAGAAGCAUUCAAAUAAAAAGAGAAAGACUGGUUGGUAUGAAUGAAAUAGACAUAGAAGAAUGAUAUAAACCUUGCCAGAAAAGUUACCUGCACAAUCUGCUGCUCUCACCACAAGCUGCUCUAACAGAAAUUUUGCUGGAUCACCAGUAGGGUUGCUCAAGAUAUAAGAAUGGACAAGCUUUACUGCCUCAUCGUUGCUGAAGAAGUCAAAUAAUCCAUCACUCCCAACUAUGACAAAGUGAUCAGACUUUGAUACUUUAUGCACAUUCAUUGAUGGUUGGGUAGAAAUAUAUGGGGGGCUUAUGAGGUUACGAACUUGAAGGAUACCCAUCAAAGCAUCAUUUAGCUUUUUCUUUUUCAAGUAACCAACUCCAAAAGCUCGAGUGACCUUCAAUUUUCCUUUCACUUUACCAAAAACAAUUGUUGCAGGGUCAUCAGGAUGGUCAUUCAAUAGCAUGGUUCUUUCAAGUUCAUUGUCAACAGUGUGACAUUCACUGAGCUGGACAGCUUUUAGUUGCUCAUACCCAUUCACCACAUUGUCUCCAUUAUAUGUUGCCAAAACAACCCUACUAUCACCUAAAUUCAGUGUAUACAAAUCUGUUCCAUGAAGAAGAACAACCAAGACACAAGAUCCUACGGAAACUAGAUCAGGGCGUUCCUCCAUUUCUUGCUCUACCAUGUUUAAGAAAUCAUUCUCAGCCUGACUAAGAGCCCGCUGGAGGCUAUCAAGUACUUCAUACCUAAAUGAAUCAGAUGAAAUUUCCAGUUUGGAAUGCAUUCCAUUCAUGGCGACUAAGUUAAUAUUUGAAUUCUUAUUAUUAAGACUUCCCGAUGGACUUUUCCCCCCAAGACUAUGAUCACCGGCCUCUGGAGGAUGUUGAAGGGACCCAUCCAGAGACAUGCCAUUGGAAGCUCUGGUUACAUUCUGCUUCAAUUCCCAGUCUAAAGAGUUGGUGUGAAAGAUGAUGUUUUCAUACAAUGUCCCAGCCAGAAAAUCAGCUGCAUCUCUUCCAUUAAAGCCAUCAUAGAUUGCACAAAGAAGCCACCCAUUUUCUUCAGAACAGACAGCUUGGACCCUGUCUUCACCCGCAGCUCCACCUGCAACUUGAACUUCAAUGGCAUUAAGAAAGCCUUCACUUCUAGAAGGAGCACUCAUUGAUUUUAAAGAAUAAGAAUCAUAUUCUGGCGGACUUGAAGUGGAUGGGCUGCAACUUAAGUUUGACAUACUGCUUUGGAGAGAAGAUGAUAAUAUGUCCAACAUUGAAAGGGUUGGUGAAGAGGGAACUUUUCGGAAUGAAUUUGGGGAGUCCAAACUGGGAAGUAUUUCUGCUCCUAUCACACCAUUGCAGAUAUUGGUGUUAGCCAAAGUGGCAUUAGCACUUAAGGCAGCACCAGACAAGCAAGAGAAGCUGCUAUUCCUGUAGAGUUUAGUGCUCUGCAGGGUUUCAUACCCAUUGGAAAGCAUACAAGAGCUGCCACUGGGGCCAUUGCAAUGAUAGCCAAAACUCACUUUGAUUUCUCCCUCAGGAUUAAUUGAAUUUGCCCCUCUCAUUGUUUAUGACUAAAAUAAUGGAAGCAAAUGCAAUGUUAAUAUCCUUAAUAAUAAUGCUGAAAAAAUUUUUAUAAAUAAAUUCAAAAUUUCAGAAGUCUAGCAUGUACAUAAUUCAGUGACUAUCACACCCCAAUCUGUCAUCUGAAGAUCAGUCAGAAACAUACAAAUUAUAAAGCUAAGAAAAGACAGUAGAAAACACAGACAAACAGAUAUUUAGAAGUAAUUUAUGGAUGUAAAUCAUGAGGAACAUCUUAGGUCGAUCAUUGGUCAGUUAUAAAAAAAGAUCUCAGGAGACAUCAAUUCUUUGCAAUUUGCAGUAAAAACACAUCCAUAUGAACCUAUGAGCUAACAGACAUAUCGACUAACAGAGAUCACAAAAGCACUCCUAGCAUAUGGCGAGUGUAUCUCCAUUUACCAGGCUUUGUCUAAAAUCCAGAAAUUAAAGCAUUGAAAUUUGAUUACAGGAAGAUUCUAAUAAAUCCAUGGUCUUUUAAGAAACAGCAUUUAAUACAAUAACCACAACUCAUUCUUUUUAUUAGGCUGCUAGUUCUGUUAAAAUAUCUAACUUUGCGUGUAGGCAACAAAGCAAAGAUCUGUUACAAGAAUUAGCUUUAUUUCAUUUCGAACCUAGAAUCUCCUCCAACUUCAAUUUUUUAAUCCUUCAUCCUCUCAUGGUGGGUGAAAGCAUUCGAGAAUUGAAACAUAAAAAAGUGUUAAUUAUCAUUCAGAUCACAGUAAUAGGAUAGAUUUCAACUCUAAAAAUUAUAAACCCUUUUGAUGAGUUCAAAUGGAGAAAGGGAGACUUUAGAGCACAAGGGAUAAAACCCAAGAACAAAAGCAAAUUGUUACACGAAAGAUAACCGAAAAGAUCAAUAACGUCAAAAGCAUUCUUAGAAACUCUUCGCUAUACCAAAGUUUAGAGGUCCUAGAACCGACUGUCAGUAAGUACAUAGACAUACUCAGGCAGAUUGCUCUCCUUCAAUUUUCUAAGAAACUUAGAUUAAAUGAGUUAUUUAUUUUGGUAUCGUAACAUGAGAAAAUACUAUUGAAGGCUAAAUGUGAAUAGAAGUUCAAUUAAGGCAAUCAACUCAAACAUCAGCAAAACUAGAGAAUCAACAGAGCAAGAGUAAAGCCUACAACUUUUGUCCAAAAUUCAGUACUCCCCAAAGCAAUACACUGCCGAAAUAAACAGAAAUACACAAACACACAGAACAAGAACGUAUAAAGUAUUUCAAUUAAAAAAAACACACAAAGAAUAAGAAAAAACCAAGACCCACCCCAGACCCUUUAUCCUCCAAGAUGCCCAGAUGAAGAAAACCGUGAAACCAGAAUGCGACAGUAUAUCUCUGCAGUACAGAGUAUAAGCAGUGAAGAGUAAGUGAAGAGAAGAGAACGAUGAGCAGAAGGGUGUGAGUUAAUAAAAAAGCCAAGAAAAAAAAAAUAUAAAAGCAGAGGAAUAAGCAAAGAAGAGAAGGAGUCACGCAGAGAGAGAGAGCGAGAGAGAGAUAGAAAUAGAAGGAAACAAAAAAGACUAGUGGAGAAUCUGUAUCGAAGAGGAACGUCAAAAGCGUUGCUUUAGAGCUUGGAGAGAGGGAGAGAGAGGAGACAAUGGAUGGUGGAGAAGGGUCUUUGCCAUAACCAGAGGAAUUUUUCUUUGGCUCAAAUUUGAGUCCACAUCAAAAGGAUUCAACCAUUACCAGUAACGCUUGUUUUUGAACUCUCUCUUUCUUCUCGUCUCUCCGCCCCUUCAGAGACUCAUUCUAUGACCGUACUUCUCUUCAACUUCUCUCCCCGAGAUUGCCGCGUUUCCUCUUCUAAAU
Molecule: unclassified non-coding RNA, 4085 nt
Filed under: Hevea brasiliensis (rubber tree)
Lineage: Eukaryota; Viridiplantae; Streptophyta; Magnoliopsida; Malpighiales; Euphorbiaceae
Source: RNAcentral